CUGGCAUUGUCCCACAGCACCUCUGCAUGGGCUACCUCGGGAACGUGACCACACCUUGCUACAGUACAGGACACAGACAGAAGUGUAUUGAGGCAGGUUCCCACUCCCCAUUUGAUGUGCAUGUCAACCAGCUGCGACCCCCUUCCAAGUAAAAGCCGUCUUCACAUGAGUAUUCAACCACAGUCCCAGGAAUCCCGGCUGGCAGCCGUAGCUAACCACACUCCCAUAGACUGUAGCAGGAUGCCGGGAGAGCAGUAUGGCAUGAUGCACUGGAGGUGGGGGUCCACAGUCGACGGCUGAAGAUGAGAGAAAGAAACCACCUGUUGUAGACACUUCUCAAUUCAUCCCUGCAGUAUCAGGUAUGGAUGUUACUUGACUUGUUGUUUUUUUUUUUUUUUUUACACUUUAUUUGUACUAGGAGAAAAGUAGAAAAAAUAUUUGCACACCAUAAAAGCUCCCUUGUCGUGAUUUUAAUGUGAAA
Molecule: long non-coding RNA, 481 nt
Organism: Engraulis encrasicolus (European anchovy)
Lineage: Eukaryota; Metazoa; Chordata; Actinopteri; Clupeiformes; Engraulidae
Exons: 3
Source: RefSeq, a predicted model, not a curated record